RNAcentral lists this ribosomal RNA (497 nucleotides) under Veillonella dispar. RNAcentral's name for it is "bacterial SSU rRNA". It matches the Rfam family "Bacterial small subunit ribosomal RNA", at positions 28 to 494 of the family's 1533-position model. The record is from RNAcentral. Lineage: Bacteria; Bacillati; Bacillota; Negativicutes; Veillonellales; Veillonellaceae.
GACGAACGCUGGCGGCGUGCUUAACACAUGCAAGUCGAACGAAGAGCGAUGGAAGCUUGCUUCUAUCAAUCUUAGUGGCGAACGGGUGAGUAACGCGUAAUCAACCUGCCCUUCAGAGGGGGACAACAGUUGGAAACGACUGCUAAUACCGCAUACGAUCUAAUCUCGGCAUCGAGGAAAGAUGAAAGGUGGCCUCUAUUUAUAAGCUAUCACUGAAGGAGGGGAUUGCGUCUGAUUAGCUAGUUGGAGGGGUAACGGCCCACCAAGGCGAUGAUCAGUAGCCGGUCUGAGAGGAUGAACGGCCACAUUGGGACUGAGACACGGCCCAGACUCCUACGGGAGGCAGCAGUGGGGAAUCUUCCGCAAUGGACGAAAGUCUGACGGAGCAACGCCGCGUGAGUGAUGACGGCCUUCGGGUUGUAAAGCUCUGUUAAUCGGGACGAAAGGCCUUCUUGCGAACAGUUAGAAGGAUUGACGGUACCGGAAUAGAAAGCCAC